CCCCAAAGAGUCCACAUCGACGGGGAGGUUUGGCACCUCGAUGUCGGCUCAUAACAUCCGGGGGCUGUAGUAGGUCCCAAGGGUUGGGCUGUUCGCCCAUUAAGGUGGUACGCGAGCUGGGUUCAGAACGUCGUGAGACAGUUCGGUCCCUAUCCGUCGCAGGCGUAGGAAAUUUGAGAAGACCUGUCCUUAGUACGAGAGG
RNAcentral lists this ribosomal RNA (202 nucleotides) under Clostridioides difficile. RNAcentral's name for it is "partial 23S ribosomal RNA". It matches the Rfam family "Bacterial large subunit ribosomal RNA", at positions 2489 to 2690 of the family's 2925-position model. The record is from RNAcentral. Lineage: Bacteria; Bacillati; Bacillota; Clostridia; Peptostreptococcales; Peptostreptococcaceae.